GUUUUUUCUGUAAUAUAUUUCAAAACCUUAUUACCAUGAAAUUUCUAUAUAGGAUAGUCUUGAUUUUGAUGAUAAUGCGUCUUUAGAUUUGACUAAUAUAUGAAACCUGAGUUAUGAUCUGCUGUUUGUUAGAGCAAAUGUAAAAAUUUAAAUUUUUAUUUUAUUUGAAUUAUCAAUAAUUUUAAAUCUACCAAAGAAAAGUCUGAAGCUGUUGUAUCAUGAGAGAACUACUAAACAUAUAUACAUGUAUGUGUGUGGGUGUGUGCACACACAUAUGCAUUGUGUAUGUGUGCAUGUGUGCAGUGUUGGCUCGAGAAAAAGUGGAGCCUGGUGCAAAGUUGUUAUGUGGAGCCCUUUAAUAAUAAUAAUAAAAGUUUUGAGUAAGAAUUGGAUCAUGCAAGAUCACAAGACCUUGUGUGGUUGCACUAUUCACACCACUCUCCAGCCAGUCCUGUUUGUGUGUGAUAUAUAAAUAGUCCUUGAUGUAUGAUUAAUUCAGUUUCAAAAAUUUUGAACUCCUCAGUAAUAAGUUGCAAAUACCCAAAAUUUAUGGCUUUCUUGUCAUUAAUGUUUACUAUCAAAUAUAUAUAUAUCUUAAUAGUUUCAGAACUACUUUGCUUCACUUAUAUACAACACAAAAACGGGCUCUAUAAGCAAAGAAGGGACUUUUACUACGGUCAAGCGUUUCUGGGCUGUAGGCUUGGCCCCUCAUCAGUGCUGUGCAACUACAUAAAAUUAUUCUUGAAAUGCUCA
RNAcentral lists this long non-coding RNA (753 nucleotides) under Androctonus crassicauda. The record is from RNAcentral. Lineage: Eukaryota; Metazoa; Arthropoda; Arachnida; Scorpiones; Buthidae.